RNAcentral lists this ribosomal RNA (460 nucleotides) under uncultured bacterium. Its description in RNAcentral is "partial 16S ribosomal RNA". It matches the Rfam family "Bacterial small subunit ribosomal RNA", at positions 338 to 795 of the family's 1533-position model. The record is from RNAcentral.
CCUACGGGUGGCAGCAGUGAUGAAUAUUGGUCAAUGGACGAGAGUCUGAACCAGCCAAGUAGCGUGAAGGAUGACUGCCCUAUGGAUUGUAAACUUCUUUUAUAUGGGAAUAAAACAGGGUAUGCAUACCCUCUGGUAUGUACCAUAUGAAUAAGGCUCGGCUAACUCCGUGCCAGCAGCCGCGGUAAUACGGAGGAUCCGAGCGUUAUCCGGAUUUAUUGGGUUUAAAGGGAGCGUAGGUGGAUUGUUAAGUCAGUUGUGAAAGUUUGCGGCUCAACCGUAAAAUUGCAGUGGAAACUGGCAGUCGUGAGUACAGUAGAGGUGGGCGGAAUUCGUGGUGUAGCGGUGAAAUGCUUAGAUAUCACGAAGAACUCCGAUUGCGAAGGCAGCUUACUGGACUGCAACUGACACUGAUGCUCGAAAGUGUGGGUAUCAAACGGGAUUAGAUACCCUAGUAGUU